CUCGAAGAGGACGCACACUCUGCCUGAAUUUCAGCAGUCUCCAGCUUGGUUGCCUCCUGCCGCCCCGCUCCGCCUUUCCUGACAGAUUCGAGGAGACUUGGCAAGUGAGGACCUGGAACCGCUGUCAGGUCUGAAACCGAGAGGAAAAGUUCUGGAAAAGCAUCAGAAAGCCUGAAAUCUAAUCCUGCCUCUGGCAUUUACCAAGAUGUGGUUUGGGAUCAACUACUUGAUUUCUUCUGAACCUCAUUUUCUCCCUUUAUAAGAAAUGAAAGACUUGACACCAGAUGCCUACUUGAGCAAAUACUUCAGAGCAGAUCUUCAUUUAGAAAAUAAUCAACAAAUAAAGGUCAGUCUGAUUAGACCACCAGAAGGAUCUUGAAGGGUAGACAAAACAUUGUCUCUCUCUGACGGUUGGCACAGUCGGCAGGAUUUAGUUGAUGGUGUGGACACGGUGUUCUGAGGCUGCUGUAGCUGUGA
Suricata suricatta (meerkat) is the source of this 477-nucleotide long non-coding RNA. RefSeq lists it as uncharacterized. The transcript is spliced from 4 exons. The record is from RefSeq and is a predicted model, not a curated record. Lineage: Eukaryota; Metazoa; Chordata; Mammalia; Carnivora; Herpestidae.